RNAcentral lists this ribosomal RNA (253 nucleotides) under uncultured prokaryote. RNAcentral describes it as "partial 16S ribosomal RNA". It matches the Rfam family "Bacterial small subunit ribosomal RNA", at positions 525 to 777 of the family's 1533-position model. The record is from RNAcentral.
ACGGGGGGGGCGAGCGUUGUUCGGAAUUACUGGGCGUAAAGGGCGCGUAGGCGGUGCUCUAAGUUAGAUGUGAAAACUCUGGGCUCAACCCAGAGCCUGCAUCUAAAACUGGAGUGCUAGAGUUCUGGAGGGGGUAGCGGAAUUCCCGGUGUAGCGGUGAAAUGCGUAGAUAUCAGGAGGAACACCGGUGGCGAAGGCGGCUACCUGGACAGAAACUGACGCUGAGGCGCGAAAGCUAGGGGAGCAAACAGGA